Molecule: ribosomal RNA, 777 nt
Filed under: uncultured Neocallimastigales
Lineage: Eukaryota; Fungi; Neocallimastigomycota; Neocallimastigomycetes; Neocallimastigales
Description: partial large subunit ribosomal RNA
Rfam family: Eukaryotic large subunit ribosomal RNA
Source: RNAcentral
CGCAUCUGUGCAUGCAGCAUAUCAAUAAGCGGAGGAAAAGAAACUAACAAGGAUUCCCUCAGUAACGGCGAGUGAAGCGGGAAGAGCUCAAAUUUGAAAUCUUGAAGGGUCACCUUUCACGAAUUGUAGUUUAAAGAAGUGUUUUCUGCUGACGUAUCGGUAAUAUAAGUUCUUUGGAAUAGGACAUCAUAGAGGGUGAGAAUCCCGUAUUUGACCAUUACUUUCAACUUCGUGAUACACCUUCAAAGAGUCGGAUUGUUUGGGAAUGCAGUCCAAAAUGGGUGGUAAAUUUCAUCUAAAGCUAAAUAUUGGCGAGAGACCGAUAGCGAACAAGUACCGUGAGGGAAAGAUGAUAAGAACUUUGAAAAGAGAGUUAAACAGUACGUGAAAUUGUCAAAAGGGAAGCGUUUAACACCAGUGUUGUUUUUCUGAAAAUCAAUUAAAGAACUGUUUAUGCUAAGCUGUUUAGACUUUAUCAGCUAACUGUUUAGUUUUGAGCUUUUCUUUAAUGCACUUUUCAGUUAACAAGUCAACAUCAAUUUCUUUUGCUGUAAAAAAGCUUGAGGAAGGUGGCUUGAGAUUCGUCUUAAGUGUUUAUAGCCUCUUGCCUAUGCAGUCGGAGAGAUUGAGGUCUGCAGCGUAGAUCCUUCGGGGCUAAAUGCAUUUGUGCUAAGUUAUAGCAUUUUAUAGACAACCUGUUGACUAUGAUUAGUCUUGUAGCUUACUCGCUUAUGCUAUUUUACCUACGCUUAGGAUGUUGACGAUCAGCUGAGCGCG